AGUCUGACGGAGCAACGCCGCGUGAACGAAGAAGGUUUUCGGAUCGUAAAGUUCUGUUGUUAGGGAAGAACAAGUACCGUUCAAAUAGGGCGGUACCUUGACGGUACCUAUCGAGGAAGCCCCGGCUAACUACGUGCCAGCAGCCGCGGUAAUACGUAGGGGGCAAGCGUUGUCCGGAAUUAUUGGGCGUAAAGCGCGCGUAGGCGGUUUCUUAAGUCUGAUGUGAAAUCUUGCGGCUCAACCGCAAGCGGCCAUUGGAAACUGAGGAACUUGAGUGCAGAAGAGGAGAGCGGAAUUCCACGUGUAGCGGUGAAAUGCGUAGAUAUGUGGAGGAACACCAGUGGCGAAGGCGGCUCUCUGGUCUGUAACUGACGCUGAGGUGCGAAAGCGUGGGGAGCGAACAGGAUUAGAUACCCUGGUAGUCCACGCCGUAAACGAUGAGUGCUAGGUGUUAGGGGGUUUCCGCCCCUUAGUGCUGCAGUUAACGCAUUAAGCACUCCGCCUGGG
Molecule: ribosomal RNA, 507 nt
Filed under: Gracilibacillus sp. SSUPJ10
Lineage: Bacteria; Bacillati; Bacillota; Bacilli; Caryophanales; Bacillaceae
Description: bacterial SSU rRNA
Rfam family: Bacterial small subunit ribosomal RNA
Source: RNAcentral